AACCUCUCCGGUGUCUUAAUGGUUAGAACGUCCGCCUCGGAUGCGAGAGGUCGCGGGUUCGAACCCCAGCCGAGUCA
Molecule: non-coding RNA, 77 nt
Organism: Potamilus streckersoni
Lineage: Eukaryota; Metazoa; Mollusca; Bivalvia; Unionida; Unionidae
Source: the annotation of a GenBank genome assembly